UCUAGAAUUCUCUACGACUCACUCCUCCAACUAGCUCUCUUUCGAGUUUCACCAUUACUUUGUUCAAUCAUCUACAGAUCUGCCAUUGCUGGCGAGUUCUAGCAGUAAUCUUCUACCGUUACUCCAUAAGUAUUGACCUUUCUCUCUAACCUUUCCUUAUCCUUCGUCUCUUCUUUUAGGGAUUUACUGUUGUCUUUGAUUUGCUUGGUCCAAUCUUCUUCUAAUUUUUGCUAUGGCACAACAGCAUCUCAAUGGGUAGUCAUAGUUGAAGCCAGAGGUGAUAAACCAGGUUUUUAAUGUUCUGUUUCAAGGACCCAAAUGUUACUUUGCUUUCAAAUCUCAUACCCAUAUCGGUGCUGCAAAAUUAAAAGAAUUUUUUACUAAAUAGAUACUUGCACAGGAUGAAAGGAAAGCUGCAGAAUCACUAAAAAGGCAGCAGAUGAUAAAAGUAAAAAGCAUGAAAAAUGAAAAAUUGGAAGAUCUGAUGAUUCAAGAAAUGCAAAAAAUCAUAGUGUACCGUUAGAACCCGAAACUACCAGAGUGACCAACACACAACUAGAAAUUUAAAAAGUUUUCUUACAGGGUACAACUGAAGAGCAAGAGUAAGAGACUUCUUUGAAGUACUUGUUCCUAUUCACUAUCUAACACAUACAAGCCCAAUCUCUUAAUUACAUUGCAUAUAUUAACAGAAGGAUGUGCAUAACGGGGUCACUUGGAAAAGUUGUAGCCUUAUUUGCGGAAAUGCUUGAUGGUAUCUCUCGAUGUUGUUGCGAACUCAGUAAUUCUAAAUGCAUUUUCUGAAUCUGGUGUGUUGAUUGUGAGAGUUGUUUCUAUUACAUAAUUUUCAAAAUCUAACCAUACAAGGAAAUGUAGGACUAUUCAUCCCCUUUUCUUUCCUUCUUUUGCAUCUUUAUGGCCUACAUCUGAAUGGAAUUCGGUCUGAUACAUGAUAUAUUAAGGAUAUGUAGUUUCAUUUUUUGCCUAAACGUCUAUUUUGACGUUGUAGCUUGACAAGCUAAAUAAAAUAAGAGAACUUAUUAA
Long non-coding RNA from Nicotiana attenuata, 1041 nucleotides. RefSeq lists it as uncharacterized. The record is from RefSeq and is a predicted model, not a curated record. The transcript is spliced from 4 exons. NCBI's taxonomy places the organism in Eukaryota, Viridiplantae, Streptophyta, Magnoliopsida, Solanales, Solanaceae.